This 300-nucleotide ribosomal RNA is filed under the name uncultured bacterium. Its description in RNAcentral is "bacterial SSU rRNA". It matches the Rfam family "Bacterial small subunit ribosomal RNA", at positions 775 to 1067 of the family's 1533-position model. The record is from RNAcentral.
GGAUUAGAUACCCUGGUAGUCCUAGCCCUAAACGAUGAACACUAGGUAGGGGAGGUGUCCAUGCCUUCCCUGCUGGAGCAAAAGUUUUAAGUGUUCCGCCUGGGGAGUACAGUCGCAAGGCCGAAACUCAAAGGAAUUGACGGGGGCUCACACAAGCGGUGGAGCAUGUGGUUUAAUUCGAAACAACGCGCAAAGCCUUACCUGGGUUUGACGUGUACGAAUUAGCUCAUGGAAACAUGGGUGACGCCCGCAAGGGUGGAACGUACACAGGUGCUGCAUGGCCGUCGUCAGCUCGUGUCG